CCUACGGGAGGCAGCAGUGGGGAAUCUUGGACAAUGGGGGAAACCCUGAUCCAGCCAUGCCGCGUGAUCGAUGAAGGCCUUAGGGUUGUAAAGAUCUUUCAGCGAGGAAGAUAAUGACGGUACUCGCAGAAGAAGCCCCGGCUAACUCCGUGCCAGCAGCCGCGGUAAU
Molecule: ribosomal RNA, 169 nt
Filed under: uncultured alpha proteobacterium GT16-6
Lineage: Bacteria; Pseudomonadati; Pseudomonadota; Alphaproteobacteria
Description: partial 16S ribosomal RNA
Rfam family: Bacterial small subunit ribosomal RNA
Source: RNAcentral